Molecule: transfer RNA, 72 nt
Filed under: Salmo salar (Atlantic salmon)
Lineage: Eukaryota; Metazoa; Chordata; Actinopteri; Salmoniformes; Salmonidae
Rfam family: tRNA
About the family: Transfer RNA (tRNA) molecules are approximately 80 nucleotides in length.
Source: Rfam by way of RNAcentral
UCCCAUGUGGCUCAGUUGGUAGAGCAUGGUGCUUGCGAUGUUAAGGUUGUGGGUUCAAUUCCCACGGGGGAC